GAUAGGAAGAGCCGACAUCGAAGGAUCAAAAAGCAACGUCGCUAUGAACGCUUGGCUGCCACAAGCCACUUAUCCCUGUGGUAACUUUUCUGGCACCUCUUGCUUGAAACUCGCAAGUUCAAAA
Molecule: non-coding RNA, 124 nt
Organism: Ciona intestinalis (vase tunicate)
Lineage: Eukaryota; Metazoa; Chordata; Ascidiacea; Phlebobranchia; Cionidae
Source: RefSeq, a predicted model, not a curated record